RNAcentral lists this unclassified non-coding RNA (207 nucleotides) under Hevea brasiliensis (rubber tree). Lineage: Eukaryota; Viridiplantae; Streptophyta; Magnoliopsida; Malpighiales; Euphorbiaceae. The record is from RNAcentral.
CCCGAUCAUUGUACCUCAAUUCUUAAAACACAAAAAUUAACUGAACAGAAUAGAUUUCCAAAUGGCUAAUCCUUAUGUCCUUCAAAUUACAGUUACAAACGCGGAUCAGAGAAAGUGGCCAACGUAGAAAUAUUACAUUGGAAGGAAUCCCUCCCCAAUGACUAAGCAGCCUCCGGACUUCUCUCUCACUCUUUCUAUGAACAAGAA